GAUUAUGGCUCAGGAUGAACGCUAGCUACAGGCUUAACACAUGCAAGUCGAGGGGCAGCAUGGAGUUGCUUGCAAACUCUGAUGGCGACCGGCGCACGGGUGAGUAACGCGUAUCCAACCUUCCCUAUAGUAGAGGAUAGCCCGGCGAAAGUCGGAUUAAUACUCACGUUUUCCGUUGCAGACAUCUAAGAUGGAACAAAGGCUUGCCGCUAUAGGAUGGGGAUGCGUCUGAUUAGGUAGUCGGCGGGGUAACGGCCCACCGAGCCAUCGAUCAGUAGGGGUUCUGAGAGGAAGGUCCCCCACAUUGGGACUGAGACACGGUCCAAACUCCUACGGGAGGCAGCAGUGAGGAAUAUUGGUCAAUGGGCGAGAGCCUGAACCAGCCAAGUAGCGUGCCAGGAUGACGGCCCUAUGGGUUGUAAACUGCUUUUAUGCGGGGAUAAAGUUCACUACGUGUAGUGUUUUGUAGGUACCGCAUGAAUAAGGACCGGCUAAUUCCGUGCCAGCAGCAGC
RNAcentral lists this ribosomal RNA (513 nucleotides) under uncultured bacterium. Its description in RNAcentral is "bacterial SSU rRNA". It matches the Rfam family "Bacterial small subunit ribosomal RNA", at positions 15 to 518 of the family's 1533-position model. The record is from RNAcentral.